GAUGAAGAACGUAGCGAAAUGCGAUAAGUAAUGUGAAUUGCAGAAUUCAGUGAAUCAUCGAAUCUUUGAACGCACAUUGCGCCCAUUAGUAUUCUAGUGGGCAUGCCUGUUCGAGCGUCAUUUCAACCCCUAAGCACAGCUUAUUGUUGGGAACCUACGGCUUCGUAGUUCCUCAAAGACAUUGGCGGAGUGGCAGUGGUCCUCUGAGCGUAGUAAUCUUUUAUCUCGCUUCUGUUAGGUGCUGCUCCCCCGGCCGUAAAACCCCCAAUUUUUUCUGGUUGACCUCGGAUCAGGUAGGAAUACCCGCUGAACUUAAGCAUAUCAAUAAGCGGAGGA
This 336-nucleotide unclassified non-coding RNA is filed under the name soil metagenome. Its description in RNAcentral is "partial contains 5.8S ribosomal RNA, internal transcribed spacer 2, and large subunit ribosomal RNA". The stretch from base 1 to 120 matches the Rfam family "5.8S ribosomal RNA", at positions 35 to 154 of the family's 154-position model. The record is from RNAcentral.